RNAcentral lists this non-coding RNA (31 nucleotides) under Mus musculus (house mouse). The record is from RNAcentral. Lineage: Eukaryota; Metazoa; Chordata; Mammalia; Rodentia; Muridae.
UAGGUACAGUCAAUCCCCUCAUCAUAGCUGU